GGUCUUAUGGUCUAGUGGUAUGAUUCUCGCUUAGGGAUCACGUGAUCAACACCUGAGCACAUUUGCGAGAGGCCCCGCGUUCGAAUCGCGGUAAGACCC
This 99-nucleotide transfer RNA is filed under the name Paraphaeosphaeria sporulosa. RNAcentral describes it as "tRNA-Pro". Lineage: Eukaryota; Fungi; Ascomycota; Dothideomycetes; Pleosporales; Didymosphaeriaceae. The record is from RNAcentral.